CACGUAGGGCGCAAGCGUUGUCCGGAAUUAUUGGGCGUAAAGAGCUCGUAGGUGGUUUGUUACGUCCGCUGUGAAAUCCUAGGGCUUAACCCUGGGCUUGCAGUGGAUACGGGCAGACUAGAGGUAGGUAGGGGAGAAUGGAAUUCCUGGUGUAGCGGUGAAAUGCGCAGAUAUCAGGAAGAACACCUAUGGCGAAGGCAGCACUCUGGGACGGUACUGACGCUGAGACGCGAAAGCGUGGGGAGCGAACAGG
Molecule: ribosomal RNA, 253 nt
Filed under: uncultured bacterium
Lineage: Bacteria
Description: partial 16S ribosomal RNA
Rfam family: Bacterial small subunit ribosomal RNA
Source: RNAcentral